GACUAGGAACCAUGAGGUUGUGGGUUCAAUCCCUAGCCUUGCUCAGUGGGUUAAGGAUCCAGCGUUGCCGUGAGCUCUGGUGUAGGUUGCAGACGCGGCUCGGAUCCCGUGUUGCUGUGGCUCUGGCGUAGGCCAGCGGCUGUGGCUCCGAUUCGACCCCUAGCCUGGGAACCUCCAUAUGCACAGCCCAAGAAAUGGCAAAAAGACCAAAAAAAAAAAAAAAAAAGUUUUAAAAUUUGGUUAUGUGGAGGAGAGUAUUUCUAGACCUGUUUGGAAGGCAAACCAGAAGUAUACUAUAGAUAAAGGGCUCCCCUUCCUUUGGAUAGAAAAUUUUCUAUCUCUGAUAUAUUUUUAAUAAUCAUAUGAAACAUUACCUCCUUCACAGUAGAAUCAGAUUUUGCAUAUCUUUUGCCUAGCAUUAGGUUUUUCAACUCUGCAGCGCUUAGGCUAGUAAAACCGAAAAAUGUUUUGGUUCUAUAUAGAAAACUUCUGAAAGUCGAAUGGUGGAUUUUAGUCUCUUUUUCCCCCCUUCUUUAAGUAUUUACAGUGUUGUGUUAGUUUCAGGUGUACAGCAAAAUGAUUGUUAUACACACACACACACAUAUAUGUUAUAUAUUGAAUAUAAUUCCCUCUCCUGUAUGGUAAGUCCCUGUUGUUAGUCUCUUCUUUAAUCCACCCCAAAUAUGGUCCCUUAAGACAUGCUGGAAAUCCAAAUUCUCAUAAUUGGCUGUUUCCCUGAUAGUCCAUGAGGUGCAAUAAAUUUUAUUUAUUUUUUUGUCUUUUUAAGGCUGCACCUGCUGCAUUUGGAAGUUCCCAGGCUAGGGGUCAAAUUGGAGCUGUAGCCACCGGCCUACGCCACAGCCACAGCAAUGUCAGAUGCGAGCCAUGUCUGCAACCUACAACACAGCUCACGGCCACACCGGAUCCUUAACUCACUGAGUGAGGCCAGGGAUCGAACCUGUAUCCUCAUGGAUGCUAGUCAGAUUUGUUUCCACUGAGCCAGGGCGGGAACUCCGAGAUGCAAUAAAAUGUUUGAAGGAGGACAGUAAGAAUCUUUUGGUGCUUUGGGUUUCUUUGCUUUGUUUGUUUUUUGUUUGUUGUUGUUGUUUCAGGAAAUUCAGGUUGCAGAAGCCCCAUAAGGUAAGGAUUGUUGCAAAUGAGGCCUAGAUUUGAAAAUUCCUGCUUUGCAGAUUGUGCUUCUUCUAGUAGUAAAGAUUUCUAUGGCUGGAAAGAACUUUAAAAAUUGGGUGAUCCAGUUGCCUCCUGUUGCAGAGAGGGAACUGAGAUGCAGACCGGUCAGGUCAGUUGCUGAGGUCACAUAGUUCAUUUGUAGCAAAAUUCAGACCCGUGGCUUUGACUUUCAAUCUUCAAGUCACUGUGUCCCACACCACACCACACCAUGCUUCUCUUUCUGUGGUGCCUCUGGGGAUGCCAGCUUGCUCUCCACCAGUGACGGCAACCUCAGAUAGAAACUCUAGGGAGGAGAGGCCAGUACUUUCACAGCUCCCGACCCAUGGGAGUGAUGGGUUGGUGUUGGGAUGAAGUGGAAGUGAGGGUGCCAUCUUUAUACUCCAGCUCUUCCUGUCCUUUUCCGGAUGCUUUGUCUAUAGAGCAUCUGCAGAGAUGUUCUUGAUUCAUAUUAAUAAUAAACACAUUGGGGGCAGAAAUUGGACUUGCAGCCGGUUUUGUAAGAAGUUUCUUUGCCAAUACAUACCUCCAGAUAAAGAAUUUCAGGAUUUUCUGUCGUGGCUCAGUGGAAACAAGUCUGACUAGGAUCCUUGAGGAUCCAGGGAUCGAACCUGUGUCCUCAUGGAUCCCAGUUGGGUUUGCUAACCCUGAGCCACAACCUAAACUCCCCAAAUAAUUUUCUUAAACUUUUUUGAUCCACAUUAAGAUCUAUUGCCCCUUUGGGGGUGUGGUUCUGGUUUAAUUGAUACAAAUGUUUUGGAAAAUGUUUUAUGACCUAUAUAGGUUUAUUGAUUUUGGAGACUCUAAGUCCAUCUGUCCGUCUCUCCAGCAUUCUGCCUUCCCAUCUGAGAGCAGAAUGGGAGCAUAGGAAGUUUCUGGGGAAGUACCAGCAGCUUGGUUGGUUGUUAGCCCGGGCAGACUUAGUAUUUUAUACUGCGUUUUUUUCUACUUGAAAAGCAUAUAGAUCUUUUUUCUUUCCUUCUUUUUUGUCUCUUUAGGGCCCCACCCUUGGCACACGGAGGGUCCCAGGCUAGGGGUUGAAUCGGAGCUGCAGCUGUCGGCCUACACCACAGCAACACCAGAUCCAAGCUCCAUCUGCAACCUACACCACAGCUCACGGUAACGCCGGAUCCCCAACCCACUGAAUGAGGCCAGGGAUCAAACAUGCGUCCUCAUGGAUAUUAGUCAGAUUUAUUUCUGUUGAACCACAAUGGGAACUCUGCAUAUAGAUCUUAAUUUUCACAAUAUGGCUGUGUUCACAGCUGAAGAGCCGUAUAGUAUAGCCCCAACUGUUGAUUUUUCGUGGAAUAGCCAUUCUCCUUUGGUCCCCGUUACCCUGUUUCCUUAUUCAGUUUCCUUGAAUGUAACACGGUCAUGAUACCCAACUCAGCAAGUGCCUAUGUGAUGGAUGCUUGUGUUAACUCCCGCCGUCUAGCUUUGCCUAAUUAGGUUUCUCUUUAGCUUGAGCUCAUUUAUAGCUAACUUUUUCCAGAUUAAAAACAUAAAACCUUUGUUGAACUAUCUUGUCAUUAUAAAUUGGGACCAUCUUAACUUUAUAUCAAAGAAUUUCAUCUUUAGUUCACUUACCACAUGAGCCGCCUUAAUCCCCUAGGGACUGCUGUCAUUGUUAAUUUACAUCUGACCUUGUUCUGGAAAAAAAAAGAAAAAAAAAAAAAGAUUUAAAGCUGUGGAACCCUCAGUUAGAACUUGCUGGUUCGUGCUUUGCCUGUGCAUCUGGAUCUGUAAAAGUGAGUCCAGUUCCCUAAGAAAUCAGACUGAAGAUUUUAAUAAAAGAUUUCAGAUGCCACUGUAAGUGCUAGGACUUCUUUUGACUCUGGGUCAUUGUGUCAACGAAGGUGGUUACAAUGAGUAUUCCUACCUUACAAAUGGAGAUACAGAGGCUCUGAGAACCCAGUAACUUACCGAAGGUUGGUAGGGUGUAGCCACUGGGUUUUCACUCCCAAUCACUUGGCCACACUGUCUUGGUGAGAGGGAGAGGGAGAGAGACAGAGAGAGGGAGGGAGGGAGGAAGAGAGAGAGAAGAAGGGAGAGAGAGAAGAGGGGAGAAGGAGAGGGAGAGAGAGAGAGAUUCCUGGUCCUCAGGCUACAGGGAGCAUCUGUCAGAGGCCCAGUGGGAAGUGUGUGGAGCAUGCUGGGAAGCAUCUGGAUUUUCAUCUGGACUUGUGGAUUUUGUAAUAGGGGACCUGCCAGACCAUGUGCCUGGGAAUCAGCCAUAGCUGCACCUGAGGAGUGUUUUUGUGGGAGCACAGACUUGCCAAGUCAGUCUGGCAUGUCAAGAGUUGAGAGACAUUGGAACUGCAGAAAAAAAAAAAUUAUUGAAGAUGACUCUUAAGAUGUCAAGAGGGGAAAAAAAAAAUGACUUAGGUCACAAAAGGGAAAGCUGUCACACUCUGAGCCCCGCGCCAAGAGAUGGCUUCUCAAGGGCGGCUUAAACGCAUUAGAUUAGUCUGCAAUGUGGAUUAAGGGACUGUGGGAUUUAAUAACUUGUGUAUUAAAGAACAGCCCUGCAAAUGUUACUCUGCCAUAAAAACGUAACCACUCUAAUUGAAUUUAGAAGCAAUAUUAAAAUGACUCUUUUGGUGAUGCUCCUAGAUAUAUGAAAUAAAAUAUCAAAAGUCACCACUGAUUAAGCUGAAACUUCAGCAUGUGAGAGUUAUUAUGCACCCAGUUCUCUUGCUAGAGGUUUUUUAUUUUGUUCUGAAAUAUACUAAGAAAUUUCUCCCUCUAUAUAAUUUAUGGCCCUUCCACUCUUUCAGUGCGCCAAAUAAUGUUCUCAGAGCCUUAGCAGUGUUUUGAAACACAGUAUAUUAUCUUAAUGUUGGGCUGUAUAUCUAAUGAACAUUCAGUACGUAUUGAUGGGGAUAUUUCAGGAGCUAAAUUCUCUCUCAUGGGCAAGGAAGGAAUAGGCUAUUAAGUUACAUACAGUGCUUUGUGUGUUUUUAAGGAGUUAUGGUGGAAAAAAUAGCUUUUCUUCCUCCUCCCGUGGCUGUACGUAGUUUUGCUAGCCUUAUGUCUGCACACAAAGAUCUUCGGAUAAGAUAACAUUGAUCGGGGGUGAUAUCAGUGCAUAGCUGGGAUGCUGUGUCCGUGGACCACUUCAUGGUUCCAGAGCUCCAUGGACUCUAGAGAGCCCUGUGGCAAUCAUGAAGCAUCAGUGGCAGUUAGAAGCAAAGGGGGUCUUUUUCUUUCCAUCCAGGCAAGGGGGGUCUUUUCCUUUCUAUCCGUAAGGCUGGGGGAGGCAGAGAGGUUGCAUUUAUGUGUUUGAAGUCAGAUACGUAAUGAGGAAUAUAGUUGACUGAAACGUGUCCAUGGGUUUGGAGCAGAGAGUAGCAAUUAGGAGCACCCAGGAAACCAGAUCCCCUCCUGCUCUCAGGCUGUCUCCUGGAGUCCCCAAAGUGGCAUGUCCUCUAUUAAAGGGUAUUACGGAAUUUAUUCCCAAGUAUCUAUAUUUAAAAAUAAUGAAAAAAUAGGCACCUGGCUAGAGCUUAUCCCAAAUGAGUUUAAGUUAGGUUUCCUUUUCCCUCCAAGGACAAGAAUCCUUUUUUUUUUUUUUGGUCUUUUUAGGGCUGCUCCCGAGGCAUAUGGGAGGUUCCCAGGCUAGGGGUCGAAUCGGAGCUGUACCCGCCGGCCUAUGCCACAGCCACAGCAAUGCCAGAUCCAAGCCACGUCUGCGACCUACACCACAGCUCACAGCAAUGCCGGAUCCUUAACCCACUGAGCAAGGCCAGGGAUCCAACCUGCCUCCUCAUGGAUGCUAGUCAGAUUCGUUUCUGCUGAGGUACGAUGGGAACUCCGUGGACAAGAAUCUUUCCCUUUUCUGUUGUUCAGAGUUAGAGAAAUUUCUCUUAUCUUGCAAAACUUUACACUCAAGAAACACGUGAGUGUUUCCCAGCAUCUGAGCCCAGGGGAAGGAUGUCCAAGUACUUAAUCCAAUUCCCGUUGAGUGAUUGGCUUCUGGCAGGACUGUUAAUUUGCAAACUCUUAGGAAAGCAGAAAGUUUACAUUUUCCAGCUGUCAAACUUUGGGCUUCCUGGUGAAUCACUGGGGUGGACUUUCUAGGCCAAGCAUGAGGGGUGCUCUGGAGCUGCUGGUCCGAGGCUGGGGAAGCAUGACAAGUUUUUUGUUUUUGUUUUGUUUCGUUUUGUUUUUUAAGAUGCCUGGCAAGAGUUCUAACACGUGGGCUUGGGGACCAGCCUCUAGGGCCUAGGUGGCUUCCCUGGAAAACGCCACCACGAUCCUCACUUGUAGGGGAUCAGCACAGCCUGAAGGAAGGGCUUAGGACGACUGAUCCGAGAGCAGCCGCAAGUUUGUUCUCUCUCUGUGGCAGACGUGUUAGUCUAGGAGAAAGCGGACUCGCUUGAAAGCUUUGCAGCUCCAAAAGCGGUUGCCGAUGGAAUUUUCUCCUGUGGAAGCUGUUCUUUGCCGCUAGAAUACUAAGCCAAAAGGAAGGAAAAGAUGAAAAAUAAGCCCUUCUUUCACAACACAUUUGAGUCAACCCAUUGGAGAAAACCAGAGAUUUCUCAACGAACAAGAAAUGGCCUGGCAUUACUGCCUUAGGGAAUUAGAAAAAGGCUCCUUGAUAAAGUUAUUUGGGGAUUAAUCAUCAUUUGGCUCCAGGGCGGCAUGGGGCUCCUUGGAAUUCACCUUGUCUUCUUUGGAAGCUGGCAGCUUGGUGGUUGCGUAACAACGGGAAAUGCAAGGCCUGCCAGCCGGUCCUUCCAUGAGCCCCGGGGGAGUUACGAGGCUCUAUGACUCUUUCUUGAGUCAGUCAGGCCUGCCAGAUCCAUUUCAGUGGCCUGGGAUGUGUUGGGUACAGACCUCAGACUUCACAACUUUUUUUUUUUUUUUGCUCGCUUGCUUUUUAGGGUCAUACCAGCGGCAUAUGGGGGUUCCCAAACUAGGGGUCUAAUCGGAGCUGCCAGCCUACGCCAGAGUCACAACAAUGCCAGAUCCAAGCUGCGUCUGCGACCUACAGGUCACGGCAACACUGGAUCCUUAACCCACUGAGAGAGGCCAGAGAUCGAACCCACAACCUCACGGUUCCUAGUCCCAU
This 6262-nucleotide long non-coding RNA is filed under the name Sus scrofa (pig). Its description in RNAcentral is "lncRNA (ENSSSCG00015034077.1)". The record is from RNAcentral. Lineage: Eukaryota; Metazoa; Chordata; Mammalia; Artiodactyla; Suidae.